Molecule: transfer RNA, 62 nt
Filed under: Ictidomys tridecemlineatus (thirteen-lined ground squirrel)
Lineage: Eukaryota; Metazoa; Chordata; Mammalia; Rodentia; Sciuridae
Description: Spermophilus tridecemlineatus (thirteen-lined ground squirrel) tRNA
Rfam family: tRNA
About the family: Transfer RNA (tRNA) molecules are approximately 80 nucleotides in length. Their secondary structure includes four short double-helical elements and three loops (D, anti-codon, and T loops).
Source: Rfam by way of RNAcentral
GGGGAUGUGGCUCAGUGGCAGAGCGCUUGCCUAGCAAGCAGGAGGCUCUCCCUUCUACCCCA